ACACUGAUGGUGAAACGGUAUCAUGCUUGCCUUCCAUCUUGUUAGCAAGCGGCGUGGGUUCGACUCCCGCUCAGUGUA
Molecule: transfer RNA, 78 nt
Organism: Dichomitus squalens LYAD-421 SS1
Lineage: Eukaryota; Fungi; Basidiomycota; Agaricomycetes; Polyporales; Polyporaceae
Rfam family: tRNA
About the family: Transfer RNA (tRNA) molecules are approximately 80 nucleotides in length. Their secondary structure includes four short double-helical elements and three loops (D, anti-codon, and T loops).
Source: Rfam